AUUCAAAUUUACGUCAACGUCCGUUACGUUGGUGACGUCACCGCGAGCGCGAGAAGUCGAACUGAGGAGCAGAAAGCGGUGUUAGUGUUAGUUCUGGCCCGUUUGGACCCAAACUAAAGUGUAUCAGUAUGAAGCAGGCGGUGACGGCGCAGUGGUUCACUCUCGGAACUCGGUUCACUAAUGACCGAAUCACCGAGGAACCGACCAAAGAUAACUCACACCCGCACGGAGAAGAAGAACAAGAGGAGGAGAAGAUGAGCUGGAGUGGGGCAAAGAGAACUGCAUUCAGAUCAAACGGAUACAAGAGAGGUGGCCGAGUUGUUUGAGGAUCUGAAGAAUCGAGUGUCACAAUUCAACAUGCACAUCAGCGAAACUUUUCCCUCUGACUACACCAGCGCGCACGCACAGAAAUUCAUAGUGCAGGUGGCGAUUGCAGGCGCAUUUUAUCCGAACUGCUUCCUCCAGGGAACUGUGGACGAGGAGCUCGCCUCCAAGGAACUCUAUGGAAACGACCCCAGGACCACCGUAGUGGUGUGUAAUCUCCCUCCAUUUGCAUUCCUCUACUAUAAACAGCUCCAGUCUCUCUUCAGACACUGUGGUUAAAUCAAAUCCAUCUCCUUUGACAGCUCCAGGGCCUAUGUAGAGUUCUACCGCUCGUCAAUGAGAGGUUCUGGCGUUCUCCCAGAGGUCUCUCUGUCUCUCCUCCUCACGCAGCAGAGACUUCCUCUCCAUCUCAACAUUUAACCCGCUGGAGAGGUGGAGACUUGGGCAGGGGGGUAGUGUAUCUCACACCUCAGAUAUACACGGGUGAAUGUGGAUUUUCAGAAUCAGUCAGUGAGCCCUGUCAGGGUUCUGAGCAGCUCCAUUGAGUUGGAGAAUCUUCCUUCUAACCCUGUCUUUAUCGUCAGUAUCACCGAGGUGUCUGUUCCGCCUCUCACUUUCAGUGCACAAAUAAAAAAGAAGCAGUGUGUGUGUGCGUGCGUGUGUGUGUGUGUGUGUGUGUGUGUGUGUGUGUGUGUGUGUGUGUGUGUGUGUGUGUGUGUGUGCGCGCACUAACAGGAGGUCCAGGUGCAGCCUUUGGAUAUUGAUGAAGAUUUACUGCCCCUGCAAGACCUUCCUCGACUGCGUAGUCUGGAGCAAAGGAUGCAACAGAGCCCAGAUUACAAGCAAAAUCUGGUAAACUGGUUGGCGCUUAUUGACGGGGUGUAUGUGCGUGACUGCACCUGGCGCAUAUUGAAGAGGGUGAUUGCUAACUCCCUGGCAAAGAAUCUCAAUUGGAGGGGAGUCAAUGGAAAGACUUCACUGUCCGCUCUCCAACUCGGAGAGGUCGUGAUUGCUGCAGUUCAUAGAAACCUCCUCACGGCUAAAGCUGCAGAGAUGGAGGUCGAGGGGACCAUGAAGAGGCGGCUCCAGCUGGCAUCAGAGCGAGAGUGGCCUAAACAUGGCUGAAAACUCCCAAAACUCGGUAGACGCGCCAGCACCAGUGAAAAUGUAACUUACAUUGGGCAUGGGCAUGGUCGAGGAGCUCCUUAGCACCCCUGAAUGCAGGCAAAGGUCGGGAUGAAGUUGCUCCGAUGUGCACGAUUUACCAUAUAUAUAUAUAUAUAUAUAUAUAAAAAUUAGAUAGAUAUGGGGUAAUAAAGUGUAAAAUAUAGAUAAUUCACAAUAAUUUAAUAUCAGAUAUCAGUUAGAUUCAGCUUCGGACACAAGUUCCAGGUACUGAUCGAGAAUGAGUGGAUCAGCUUCGGACACAAGCUGGCCUCGCGUGUCGGCCUUGGAGAUGAGAAUCACGCCAACUCGGAACGAUCCCCUCUCUUUGUGCAGUUCAUCGACUGUGUGUGGCAGAUGAUGAGACAGUUUCCUUCUGCUUCUGAGUUCAAAGAGCUUUUUCUCAUCCCCAUCCUGGAGCGCCCCUACAGCUGCCUGUUUGGUACAUUCCUCUACAGCAGUGAGCAGGAGAGAAUGGAAAAGGAAGUACAGGGUAGAACGGUCACUGUGGUCCUACAUUAACAGUCAGCCGGAGGACUUCACUAACCCCUUCUACGUGGACUGUAAAAACCAGGUGCUGUAUCCACUGGCCAGUCUCACACAUCUGGAGCUCUGGGUGGGUUAUUAUGUGCGUUGGAACCCACGCAUGAGACCACAGAUGCCGCUCCAUCAGAAUCUGAGAGAGUUAUUGUUUUUGCGUGAAGAACGUGGAGGAGCUCCAGAGAGAGGCCACGUCAUCCUGCUCCAUCUCCUCAUCCUCAGAGCAUACUUCUCCCUCCUCACAUAGUGAAAAAGUUUUGCAGUUCCUAUCCAAAAGACACCAAGAGCCCAGAUGUCCUUAGAAACUAAAUGUAACCUCCAACUUGUGGCCAUUUCAGAAACUCGAUUCCCAGACGAAUCGACUGAAACUCUCGAUAGGACGUGACACUGUUGGAGAGUUGCAUACGAGCGGACAUUCAACAAUAUUUAGUAGAAGCGCUGUGGAUGUUUUCGUCUGUGUUCGUCCGUAAUAUACUGGACUGUCCUACCAAGAGUUCGACCACAUACACAUUCAACUGAAGCUCAUACAGUCAGCAUACUGAACUCUCUUUUUGCCAUAGUGCGGCCGCUUAACAGGAUAAGGCCUCAGAAGUCAAGCACCAGCAGCUUGUGGCUAAAAAACUGCAGCAGAAUUGAGCUCGGCUAGGAGGUGACGGGUGACGGAAAAAAGCCGGGGAACCUCGGAAAGGAAAACAGGGCUGUGUUCCAAAUCUUUUAUCGCCUCCUCUUCAAACUCCAAAAACCUCUGGGCCCUACAGCUAAAUCCAAAGCUGAGGAAAACAACCAUUCUACUAAGAAGGCCUUCUCAAAUACAACGUUUGAGCGAAGGGAGGAAAUGAUCAAACACAGAUCAAUUGGAACACAGCCCAUACAGCAAAACCGUAAAAAGGUGCCAUAGAGCGUAAAUGAUUCAAAAAGACACAAAUCUAAGCCCAGUACAACCAGUUGAACAUGAAUAACACGCAAAGCACAUUUCACAAGCAUGAUAUCUUUCAAAAAUGUCCAAAAGUACAAAUUCCCUAAUAAAGGAAAAAGACAUGUUUGUGCUAACAUGUAAGACUUGAGUUUCCACAUCUUCCAAACAAGUACACUUCAGCGUCUUCCUUACUGUAAGCUCGGCUCUGAAAAUCUGCUACCACUAUUGUACCAGUAAACACACACACACAGACAGAGCAAGUUAGCAAAGAUCGGUCAACAAGGUUUCUUCAACACAACCACCUUUUUAUACACGUAUGCUCACUUCAUAUUGUCAGUCCCUUUUUAAAAGUGAAUUAAACCAUGAGCAGCUAUCUUCUCAAAAGUCCGGUCAAUUUCAGAGCACAAAAAAACUGCCUAUAUACACAACAAUUCAGUCCCACGGCUCUGAAAGAAAUGCAGAGCACAAAUGUACAAAUCACUGUGAUUUCUAUUUUUCUUACAUGUGAAAAGGAUGCUUGUAAAAAGAUGAUAAAUCUUCACUGGGAAUUACUUUAAGGUCAUCAACAAUUAAUUUAUAAAUCAGGGGAGCCUGGCUCUGGUCCUGAAUUCCUGUAAUCAUGCACAGUGUGAUGAUUUCUCAUCUAACACUCCUACCUAAUGACCCGAGGACUUAAAUCGGGUGUGAUUCAGGAAAAUUCCCAAACUGUACUGGACUGUAGUCUUACAGGACCACAGUAAGGCUUCCCCGCUCUAAAGCGUUUACUAUAGAAAUAUUUAUUUGAACAUGAUGUGGAUAAUCUAAUCACAGACUCUGGAUUAACGGUGCACACAGCGAUGCUUUCACACAAAAGUGUGAUGGACACUAAAAAGCUGGAGCAACACUAAUGCAUGAAUAAUUUGUCUCAGAGUUUGUACUUUCAGUUAGAAACACAUUAAACCUCUGCACAGUUUCCAACUUCAUAUGAAUAAUAUUGUAAACAGUCGUAUUAGUGAGAAUGAGGACAAACAGUUAAAUAUUCACAGAAAGUUUGACUUAGUCACAAAG
RNA transcript from Ictalurus punctatus (channel catfish), 3991 nucleotides. It is a transcript of the gene named TBC1 domain family member 10A, with no coding region annotated. NCBI's taxonomy places the organism in Eukaryota, Metazoa, Chordata, Actinopteri, Siluriformes, Ictaluridae. The transcript has 16 exons. The record is from RefSeq and is a predicted model, not a curated record.